RNAcentral lists this ribosomal RNA (636 nucleotides) under Triticum aestivum (bread wheat). RNAcentral describes it as "partial small subunit ribosomal RNA". Lineage: Eukaryota; Viridiplantae; Streptophyta; Magnoliopsida; Poales; Poaceae. The record is from RNAcentral.
AUGCCGGAUGGUCAUGCAAAUCUCCAGCAUCAAGGGAGCCAGCAGCAAUGGUGGCUGCCAGAUGAUCAUCAUACAAAUGCUAUGCACCAAGGGAGCCAGCAGCAAUGGGUACAGCCAGAGCAGCAACACCCAACGUCGGCAAACGUCGAUGCAUCCCACUUCUCGAAUCCUGGUUACCCAGCCGAGCAGCAGUACAACAGCAGAGCCUUCCAACAAGACCAGAGGCGGCCGCCAUUCUCAGGCGGGGCGCGCUCAACGGAUCAGCACCAGCAGUACUACUACCCCCAAAGCAGACACGAUAUACCAGGAGGGUCCAGCGAGAGAUACCGUACGACUGCGAGCAUGGGUGCAGGCAGCUAUGGCCACUGGCACCAGACUCCGACUCCUCCACAGCAGCAGCACGGCGGCAGGACGUACCGGUGGGGUUUCCAGGAUUUGGGCAGGCAGGCGCAGAUCAACAACCUGCCUCCAAUGCAGGCCGGGAGGAGCAUGCUGCUGUCGGGGCUGCAUCCCGCUGGAACUGGAAGCCCGCAGACGAGCUCUCCGACCACCGGCUCCGAUGGCAGCGUCACAAGCACGUUCCUUGUGCCUCCCAGUGGCUACCACCAGUACCCGCCGCCGCAUGGGAUAUGCUGA